Molecule: ribosomal RNA, 431 nt
Filed under: uncultured bacterium
Lineage: Bacteria
Description: partial 16S ribosomal RNA
Rfam family: Bacterial small subunit ribosomal RNA
Source: RNAcentral
AACGAACGCUGGCGGCAGGCCUAACACAUGCAAGUCGAGCGCCCUUUCGGGGGAGCGGCGGACGGGUGAGUAACGCGUGGGAAUAUGCCCUUCUCUACGGAAUAGCCUCGGGAAACUGAGAGUAAUACCGUAUACGCCCUUUGGGGGAAAGAUUUAUCGGGGAAGGAUUAGCCCGCGUUGGAUUAGGUAGUUGGUGGGGUAAUGGCCUACCAAGCCGACGAUCCAUAGCUGGUUUGAGAGGAUGAUCAGCCACACUGGGACUGAGACACGGCCCAGACUCCUACGGGAGGCAGCAGUGGGGAAUCUUAGACAAUGGGGGCAACCCUGAUCGAGCCAUGCCGCGUGAGUGAUGAAGGCCUUAGGGUUGUAAAGCUCUUUCAGCUGGGAAGAUAAUGACGGUACCAGCAGAAGAAGCCCCGGCUAACUCCGUG